Small nuclear RNA from Anolis carolinensis (green anole), 184 nucleotides. Its record names the gene U2. It matches the Rfam family "U2 spliceosomal RNA". From Rfam's summary of the family: U2 is a small nuclear RNA (snRNA) component of the spliceosome (involved in pre-mRNA splicing). NCBI's taxonomy places the organism in Eukaryota, Metazoa, Chordata, Lepidosauria, Squamata, Anolidae. The record is from Ensembl.
CAAUCUUCUCGGCCUUUUGGCUAAGAUCAAGUGUAGUAUCGCAAUCUUGUCAAGAAACUUUCCAUGCAAUGUUUUGUUGUGCCAGCUGUCAGCGCUAGUUUGUAGUGCGGUUUUCUUGUACUGGUUUUUUGUCUGCUGUGCUUUGAGGAGUUUCUGAUUUUUGACUUCAAUCAAAGCAGGUUCU